CCUACGGGUGGCAGCAGUGAGGAAUAUUGGUCAAUGGGAGAGAUCCUGAACCAGCCAAGCCGCGUGAGGGAAGACGGCCCUAUGGGUUGUAAACCUCUUUUGUCGGAGAACAAAACCCGGGACGUGUCCCGGACUGCGUGUAUCCGAAGAAAAAGCAUCGGCUAACUCCGUGCCAGCAGCCGCGGUAAUACGGAGGAUGCGAGCGUUAUCCGGAUUUAUUGGGUUUAAAGGGUGCGUAGGCGGUCCGUUAAGUCAGCGGUAAAAUUGCGGGGCUCAACCCCGUCGAGCCGUUGAAACUGGCAGACUUGAGUUGGCGAGAAGUACGCGGAAUGCGCGGUGUAGCGGUGAAAUGCGUAGAUAUAUGGAAGAACCCCAGUGGCGAAAGCGGCUCUCUGGUCUGUAACUGACGCUGAGGUUCGAAAGCGUGGGUAGCAAACAGGAUUAGAUACCCUGGUAGUC
This 459-nucleotide ribosomal RNA is filed under the name uncultured bacterium. Its description in RNAcentral is "partial 16S ribosomal RNA". It matches the Rfam family "Bacterial small subunit ribosomal RNA", at positions 338 to 795 of the family's 1533-position model. The record is from RNAcentral.